Molecule: long non-coding RNA, 384 nt
Filed under: Lepidothrix coronata (blue-crowned manakin)
Lineage: Eukaryota; Metazoa; Chordata; Aves; Passeriformes; Pipridae
Description: lncRNA (ENSLCOG00000011595.1)
Source: RNAcentral
AAGGAGCUGUUGCACACUGCCGUUAAUCUCAGGGCCCCUGCCAUCCCUCUCCUUGGGCUACCAUGGCCAUCGCUUGACUCUAAACAAGCUGACAACAGGUUGUCUGGAGAGUUGGCUGGUGGACAAACUGAGAAGAGGCUGUGGACAUGAGGGACUCUUAGCUCUUUGGGCACAAUGCCUGAACCGUGUAUGGCACAGAACCUCCUUGUGUUGGAUUAGUGAAGUUACCUGGAUCCUCAGGAAACAGCUUCAAGGUCUCAUACCUUCAAAAACAAGUCUUUUAAAAAAUCUAGAAUCUGUGGAAUCUGCAAACAAGUAAUUGACAGCCAAGGAAUUUCUUGCAGAGUUUGCAAAUAUGCCUGCCACAGGAAAUGUGAAGAAAAG